UUAAGUUCAGCGGGUAGUCCUACCUGAUUUGAGGUCAAAGGUUCAAUAGUUGUCUACAGAGAGACGGUUGGAAGCAGAACAAAACAGAGAGCAGUCUAUGGUGUAGAUAAUUAUCACACCAGUGACAAACCGCAAACAGUUCUACUAAUGCAUUUUAGGGGAGCUGACCUACAGGCCUGCAGAACCCCCAACAUUCCAAG
This 200-nucleotide unclassified non-coding RNA is filed under the name Lepiota sp. Its description in RNAcentral is "partial internal transcribed spacer 2". The record is from RNAcentral. Lineage: Eukaryota; Fungi; Basidiomycota; Agaricomycetes; Agaricales; Agaricaceae.